This 541-nucleotide ribosomal RNA is filed under the name uncultured bacterium. RNAcentral's name for it is "partial 16S ribosomal RNA". It matches the Rfam family "Bacterial small subunit ribosomal RNA", at positions 355 to 888 of the family's 1533-position model. The record is from RNAcentral.
UGGGGAAUUUUGGACAAUGGGCGAAAGCCUGAUCCAGCAAUGCCGCGUGUGUGAAGAAGGCCUUCGGGUUGUAAAGCACUUUUGUCCGGAAAGAAAUCCUUGGCUCUAAUACAGUCGGGGGAUGACGGUACCGGAAGAAUAAGCACCGGCUAACUACGUGCCAGCAGCCGCGGUAAUACGUAGGGUGCAAGCGUUAAUCGGGAAUUACUGGGCGUAAAGCGUGCGCAGGCGGUUUGCUAAGACCGAUGUGAAGUCCCCGGGCUCAACCUGGGAACUGCAUUGGUGACUGGCAGGCUAGAGUAUGGCAGAGGGGGGUAGAAUUCCACGUGUAGCAGUGAAAUGCGUAGAGAUGUGGAGGAAUACCGAUGGCGAAGGCAGCCCCCUGGGCCAAUACUGACGCUCAUGCACGAAAGCGUGGGGAGCAAACAGGAUUAGAUACCCUGGUAGUCCACGCCCUAAACGAUGUCAACUAGUUGUUGGGGAUUCAUUUCCUUAGUAACGUAGCUAACGCGUGAAGUUGACCGCCUGGGGAGUACGGUCG